RNAcentral lists this long non-coding RNA (1791 nucleotides) under Gallus gallus (chicken). Lineage: Eukaryota; Metazoa; Chordata; Aves; Galliformes; Phasianidae. The record is from RNAcentral.
GCCCCGUCGCCUAGCAACAGCGCCCGCCUCGGCCUGCUUCUAAAGGAGGAUCAAGACAAGGCAGACGCGGCUACACGGAUCUCUUUCUUUGCAGUGCUAGUCUCUACAGUGAAACAUUCAUAACUGUUCAACAGAGUAGAAAGAUGCUACAUUAAAACCGUACCGGAAAACGCAGGGCCCCUGCCACAGCUGGAGAAGAGUUCGCCAGGAAGAAUGAGAAUUACACAGCCAGCUCAGAACUACGCCACUGGGAACACAGGAUGGAAGAAACAGGGCUGUCCUUUCCCCACAGCUCGGCCGUUGCUGGGCUCGGCCCACUCUGCACUCCCACCUGCUUGUUCAGCAUUGCUGCCUGUAGGCUCAGAGCUCUCAUCCACACCAGGACACGGUCAGGUCCCUCACAGCAACGGCAGCACGCUCAGAUCCCUGCUGCUGCACCUACUGAGCAUUACCUUUCACCUCCAUCUCCUCACAGCAGUGCAGAGGGAAGGACAGCCAGGUGGUGUCAGCGGGACGACGCCGUGACAGGAAAUACAGAUAGCAUAGGAGACUUGUGUGCUCCCCUGGAAGUACACGGUUUGGAUGGCAGACAGACUACAAACGGAGACACGUUCCAAACUCAUAGCAUUUCCCAGAGAAUUAAUUUACAAAGUGCCACUGGUCCUCGGAACCAAAUAGAGUGUACAGUAUAUUAAAGCAAACACAGCUCUGCAGCCCGUGUCGGCCCAUCUCUGCACAGCACGAAGGAAUCGAGUAUUCAGACUCUGCAAUAGACUCCUUCCCCUUUUAUACAAAGGAAAAUAAAACCAUAAUUUAAAACAGCAAUAAAUAAAAGGGACGGAGGCCCCGCUCAGCCCCCUUUGUGCAUUCCGAUCAGACUGGAGAGCUUCUCACAGUGCUCGAGUUUCAGUGACUCCGCCUUCUGCUUUAACCGCUCAUCUCGGUACAGCUUGGCCAAAUUUGACAAGUCAGACUUUUGCUGCUUCUCUUUCCAGCAGCUGGUCUGAAUAUAGUCUAUGUAAUCUUUUUCAACUGUUCUCUCUAGCUCUUGAAGUUCUGCUCCUUGAUAAUUCUUCUCAAAGUUUUUAUCAACAUAGUAAGGCACCUGCAAGUUCUCUGUUUCUCUGCUAAUAACGUGGCCUAUGGACGAUUUGUAGAACAGGCUGUAGGGUGGGUUAGUGGCCAUCAGCUGAGUUAUAACCGACACAAUUAUGAUGAUGAAAAUGGGCAUCAACUGAAUAAAUGCAGAAUAUGAGUUCUGUGGCCUGUUUUCUUCUUCCUCUUGCUCCUGUGUCCAUGCUCUUUCAUUUCGGUGCCUCCGUGGAUAAUAGUGUGCAUCUCUGGCUACAUUUGAGAACAUGUGGAUAUUUCCUGUUGGAAAGUGCCCACCAAAAAACACGUUGAAUAUUUCUUCUGGGGUAAUGUCUGCUUCGAAUUCUGUGUAGUAAUUAUAGUGCCUGGCUUGGCCGGUGCUGACAUGCUCGUGGUCACUUCCAUAUUCAUCGUAUCGCAAUCGUUUUUCGGGGUUGCUCAGAACUGCGAAAGCAUUGCCUAUUGCUUUGAAGGCCUCCGUGGCGCCGGGCGCGCGGUUCUUGUCGGGGUGGAACUUGAGGGCCAGGCGGCGGUAGGCCUUUUUCAGGUCCUCCUCGGUGGCAUCCCGCUCCACGCCCAGGAUCUCAUAGUAGUUCCGGCAGCUCUUUAUCCGCCGCACGCCGUCCAGCUGCUCCGCCGUGUAGGUCAUGGCGGGCCCGGGGCAGCCCGACCCCCUCACCGCUCACUGCCCGCCGCCCC